Molecule: ribosomal RNA, 460 nt
Filed under: uncultured bacterium
Lineage: Bacteria
Description: partial 16S ribosomal RNA
Rfam family: Bacterial small subunit ribosomal RNA
Source: RNAcentral
CCUACGGGCGGCAGCAGUGAGGAAUAUUGGUCAAUGGGCGCGAGUCUGAACCAGCCAAGUAGCGUGAAGGAUGACUGCCCUACGGGUUGUAAACUUCUUUUAUAUAGGCAUAAAGUGAGGCACGUAUGCCUUUUUGUAUGUACUUUAUGAAUAAGGAUCGGCUAACUCCGUGCCAGCAGCCGCGGUAAUACGGAGGAUCCGAGCGUUAUCCGGAUUUAUUGGGUUUAAAGGGAGCGUAGAUGGGUUGUUAAGUCAGUUGUGAAAGUUUGCGGCUCAACCGUAAAAUUGCAAUUGAUACUGGCAGCCUUGAGUACAGUAGAGGUGGGCGGAAUUCGUGGUGUAGCGGUGAAAUGCUUAGAUAUCACGAAGAACUCCGAUUGCGAAGGCAGCCUACUAAACUGCCACUGACAUUGAUGCUCGAAAGUGUGGGUAUCAAACAGGAUUAGAUACCCUUGUAGUC